GGACCUGCUUUCCUGAGAAGAAAAAGAAUAAAGAAUAAAUGAUAAGGGGCAGUCUGUAGGAAGGAUAGGUGGCAUUAUUAUUAUUUUUUCUUUUCAGUUCCUCUUAAGCCAAUCAAAAUAACUUUUCUUCAUUUAAAAGCAAUCUCCCCUACUGCAUUUCACAUCUGAUGAAGCUUUUAUUUGAACAAAUAACAAAUGUACAUAUAAAUCCGUGUGUCAAAAAUGGACACACAGAGCAAACAUGUGCCAUCACACAGAUUUUCCCUUUGAGAGGAUGACAAGCUAAAGAGCACUUUGAAUGGGAACUUGGUAUGAAAAAACUGUCGGUGUGGAAUGAAUAUGGUGUCCUUUUGGAAAAGGUGCUCUCUGCUUGAAAGGAGGGAUACUUUUGAAGAAACAGUGCCACCACCCAUGAACUGCCUUAUAAGAGAAGUGAUUACUAGGAAGGUACACUAAGCCUGAGUUGGUUGUACAAUUUGGCUAUGCAACUGUGACAGGUGGUGACAAGCUUAUUUAUUUCUAUUACUGAAUAUAGAUUGGAUGUCAUGAUGUGCAAGAUUUUGCAAACAUCUCAGUUUCUACAGUAUUUUCCUAGUAGACCAGCAUUUUCCAGAAGUGGACACAUUUCCUGAGUGCCACUAGAUACACAUGCCUUAUACACAGCUGUACUUGAUGUCCAGGAGGCCUGAUUUAGAUCAGGGCCAGGGAAUGAGGGGGUUAACCCUUUGCCCCCACCCCCAAGUUCUGACCUAAUUUUCCCUCUGAAAUUGUUAUUUGUCCCAUUAAGGAAAACGUGUGAGUGCAAAGAACAGCUUGGGUGUGAUGCAGACUGAGACACAGUGAGAGAGCAAAGGGUUUAAACUCUCCUUCCUCCUGCUAGAGCCCCAAUUUGGAUCACGUGUGUUCCAGCUGCUUUUGAUGCCACAGGAAAAGCUUGUGGAAAUCCAAGCCUGGAAUUCCUGAGUAACAGCCAGAUCAGCCCUCAUUCACCUUCACCAGUGUUCUGGUUGAGUGCAAAUGUGGUAGAAUAAGUCAACGAGCAUUAGGCCUUUGCUUUACAUGUUAGUUUUAUGCAAUUAAAUCUUAUUUUAUGAAUAGUUAAUAUGGUUUAAUUGCUGUAAAUAAAUGCCCACCUCCAUUUAAAUUCUGGAUGUUCUGCAAUGAUCCCUCAUUGCUUAGGCCUUACCAUAGAGUUUCUGAUCAGGGGCUUGUCAUGUGGAUCUUUUCUCCCUCCCAUGCACAGUCCUCCUUCCUGCUGGGAUCCCUGAAGUCAGUGAAGAGCUGGCUCUGCCUAGGGCAGGGGUGAACAAACUUGGUCCUUCAGCUGGAGUUAUCAUUCAACAACUGGAGAGACAGGUUUGCCCACCACUGCCUUAGGGAGAUGAUGGGGAAGGAGGUCUACUUUAUUUAUUUCACUUAAAAUCAACCUCAGGCUGCGGAAAGCUGGAUUUGGCUGGCUGUUUGCCCUCCCAGCCCCAGAUAACCCUGUGAACCUUGAAGUGUCCUAGCUGGAGCCAUGGAGCAGAAUUCAAGAACCAUAAUGCAUCUGGGGCCAAAGUUUCCCACAUCCUUCCAUCACACUGAACCCAGUCCCAUCAGUGGGAGAGGGACAAUUAAUAGAACUUCUGAGCAAACAGUUAGAAUUAAACUGUAAUUCUGAAUGGGGAUAAUGGAAGAGCCUACUUGCAACUGUUGUGCACUAAACCAGAAAAGCCCACUUUCCCUUAAAACAGUUGUGUUUUCAGUAAUGUUGCCGUAACCCAAGAUUGGUUGUAUGCUGACCAUUUUACAAUUAGCACUUCUUCUUCUUCUUUAAGAAAUUUUAAUAAGAGGCAAGAACCAGAAAGUUCAACCCUGCCAUUAUCUCGUGGGUUUAAGGCUCUGGUUCCCAAUCAGGGUUCCUCUAGAUGCUGCUGAACUACAACUCUCAUCACUCCCAGCUACAAUUUAUUGCUUUAAGGCAUAACAUUGCCAUUAUCAACAUAUAUCACAUCUUUGUUGAAGGACACAUAUCUGCUCCGGGAUGACUUUGAAGUAAGUAGCUUGCACUAUGAAGCAACAGCAUCAUCAGAGAUUGCAGGUGAGAACCAGAGCAAUAGUCAAGUGACUUCUGAAAAUAUCCUGAAUCUUCAUUUUAUCUCCUUCUUGUUUAUCUUCUUUCCAAUGCACAAACCUUUCAGAUGAGAAAAACAGGGCUGUACUCUGUGUGUGGCCUGACAAUGAACCAUUAUUGUUCAGCUUCCCACCCCCCGCCCCUUUUCUUUUUUGCUGAUUGGUCUGGGACUGUGUACUUUUGCUUUGUUUUGGCUUGGUUUCUGCUAUAUAAAUAAAUACACUUUUGUUCUUCAGAA
This is a long non-coding RNA of Hemicordylus capensis (graceful crag lizard), 2351 nucleotides long. RefSeq lists it as uncharacterized. The record is from RefSeq and is a predicted model, not a curated record. The transcript is spliced from 2 exons. Lineage: Eukaryota; Metazoa; Chordata; Lepidosauria; Squamata; Cordylidae.